AUGGCUUUUAUCUGCACCCAGUGUCUCUGCUGCAUGUGCCCUGCUGCCAUUCGGCUGGCUUUCAGAGCAGAGAAGCAGAGGUCCCACCACCACUCACUUACCGAGUGCUGGGCUGCAGCAGGCUGGCUGUGCACACUGUGGCUCACUGCCGUCUGGAAAGCCUGGAGUUGUGCAAUGCUGCAUGUGCUGCUUCUUGUAAUCUCUGCCAGCCCCUCAUUUCCGCAUACAGCCUGUUUACAAGAGCAUGGCGCAGUGAGAGCCUUCCUGGUAAGGUUAUUUUACUGUGUGGAGAUAUUAAGAACCUGUGCAGCUCUCCCCAGGAAUGCUUUCCUUUCUGAAGGAUGAACAUGAGGUUUGACCGCACAGCCAGUCCCUGGACUGUAAGGAUGGUGUUGGAUGUAGAAGUGGGUUGGGGCUGUCCUCACAAGGCAGCCUGCUUUUCCAAUACUGUGUUCAUUGCCUUUCCAGUCAUAAGGGAGUAGGACUUCUUGAAAAGCCCUGCUCAUUACAUCAAGUGUAAUGCUUUCUGCUUGCAUACAACUGGCAUAGCUUCUCUGUAUUCCUUCCAUUUAGCAACCCUAGCUGCCUGGACUAAUUGUAUGUAAUGACUAACUACAGGAGGCUGUAAUACAGAGGCGCGUUGGGAUUGGUUGGUGUGUUGUUUUUCUACAACAGGUCUGAUCCCUGAGGUUUCAAGUAACUCCACAUCCCAAAUUUUUUGGGAGAUGAAAGCAAAUCAGGAAAAAAUAGUAGGAACUCUUAAAUUGCUUUUAGUCAUUAUCAGUUUGAGAGAAGCUGAGAGUGACUAAAAGCAAAUAUAUCUCCUUCUAUUUGCGUAGACUUAUAGAAUCAGAAUCAUUAAGGUCAGGAAAGACCUCUCAAAUUAUUUCAUCCACCUACUACCAAUAUUUCCCCACUAACCCAUGUCCCUCAGUGCCAUAUCUUCAAAGUUCUUGAACACCUCCAGGGCUGGUGACUCCACCGCAACCCUGGGCAGCCAGUGCUAGUGCCCUACCACUCUUUCUGAGAUGGAAUUUUAAGGCAAUUCAUGUUUGUAUGUUGUGGGUUGGUGAGUGAAAGGACUCCAUUUGGCUACCUGUUCCUACUAGCUCUUCCUGAGUGUCUAAACAGGAAACCUCCCUCUCCAACAAGCUUUGAUAAACUUCAGCAGAGCAUCCCGACGUGGGGGAGUGUUUCUUUCCUUUGAUUGCUCUGGCAAACUGUGCAGGUGGCAUGGUUGUACAUGAUGGCCCUGCGGUGCAGGUAGGGGAUACGUGUGGAGGCACAUAGGUGUUGAGGGAGAUAAAAUCCCCGCGAUGCCCAGCACAGGGCUGCAGGGGAGCCGGUAGGUGGCAAUGUUUGACCAGACACCGGGAAAUGGCAUUUUCGUGUUGCAAGAGCUGUCGGGGCACCUGUAGUUAACGUGUAGUUAACCUGUAGUAAUUUCAGUGAUAGCUUCCAGGAGUUCGUUUGGGAAAGGUGUAACAGAACAAAUAACAACCUGCAGCGGGGUUCUGCAAUUAAUUGUUUUGACUUUACAGCAGCAGAGUGUCUCUUGUUCAAAGAGAAGAGAAAAAGUUUCUACUCAAAGGCUUAUUUAUUUAUGAGCUCCUUAUUCCAAGUAUAAAGCAGGACAUUCAGGUGGAGCUCACUGUGAGACCGGAUGUGUGCUAGAAAGAGUGGCUUUCACUGACACUUCAGAUACCAAUUCCAAGAAUCACAAGGUGGUGAGGAGGUAUUCCAGAGGGAAAAGGAAGUGCAGUUCCCUUUGUAUUUUAUUUACUACAUUGCUCCUUUACUUGGGAAAAAAAAAGAACUCUGUCAUUUCCCAUCUCGUUUGAUCUGAUUAAAGCCCCAGUGAGGGAUUCCAUUUCAAGGGGACUAGAUGGGCUUUACUUACAUCUCUCCCCCAAUUUUGUCAUCUCCUUCCUGUUCUUGUACCACGGUUUGUCCUUGAUCCUUCUGCCAAGCACAUCUUGUUCUAACCCUUCUAGCUUCUGUCAUGCCUCUUCUUUGCCUCAACUUCUCUUCCAUCCUCCUGCCCCUCUUGCUGUCUGUGAAGAUGUUCUUUAUGCCUUGGAACCCCUUCUUCUUAACAAAUGUGUCUCCAAAGGACAGUUUGUGCAGCUAUGAGAUGGACACUACUGUAACUCCAGAUUUUAUGGGACAAGAAGAAGACAACACCAUAGAGCAGGUGUUUGCUUCUUGCUGAAAAUUAAAUCUGUAAUCCCUAAUGUGGAAGAAAAAUUGUUAGCUCUUUGCUUUGUCUUUUUUUUUAAUUUGGAACAAAGGCUACAUACUUAAGCAUGUUCGAGCAUCACAUUUUUCAGAUUAAUGUCUUAAUGCAUUUCAGUAGAAUUGGAAAUGAAAAAUCAUUUGUGUAACAGAAGCAUGCUGGGGAUGAGUAUUCUGUCCACAGCUGCUGAGUAUAACUGUGCUCAUUUCUCAUAGAUCUUGAAUAAAAGAGUCCCCUACGUUUUCUAAAAAUAGUUA
Molecule: long non-coding RNA, 2493 nt
Filed under: Chrysolophus pictus (golden pheasant)
Lineage: Eukaryota; Metazoa; Chordata; Aves; Galliformes; Phasianidae
Description: lncRNA (ENSCPIG00010000450.1)
Source: RNAcentral